CAGUAGCCACGGUAAUACGUAGGUGGCAAGCGUUGUCCGGAAUUACUGGGCGUAAAGCGUGCGCAGGCGGUUGUGUAAGACAGGUGUGAAAUCCCCGGGCUUAACCUGGGAACUGCGCUUGUGACUGCACAGCUAGAGUAUGGCAGAGGGGGGUGGAAUUCCACGUGUAGCGGUGAAAUGCGUAGAGAUGUGGAGGAACACCAGUGGCGAAGGCGACUCUCUGGUCUGUAACUGACGCUGAGGAGCGAAAGCGUGGGGAGCGAACAGGAUUAGAUACCCCAGUAGUCCCUGUCUCUUAUAC
This 301-nucleotide ribosomal RNA is filed under the name uncultured bacterium. RNAcentral describes it as "partial 16S ribosomal RNA". It matches the Rfam family "Bacterial small subunit ribosomal RNA", at positions 509 to 807 of the family's 1533-position model. The record is from RNAcentral.